This is a long non-coding RNA of Daphnia carinata, 613 nucleotides long. RefSeq lists it as uncharacterized. Lineage: Eukaryota; Metazoa; Arthropoda; Branchiopoda; Diplostraca; Daphniidae. The transcript has 3 exons. The record is from RefSeq and is a predicted model, not a curated record.
CACGUGGAACGUGUCAGCGUGUAUAUAAGACGGCGGGCAAUUACACAUUUCACAGUUCUGCAAUAUCCUUUCACUGCAACUGUUCUGUUGGCCCAAGCCAUCUGUAAGACUUCAUCAUUCAUCAGUAUAUUACCAGCAAAGGACGUGUGGCUGGGGUGUCGUCAGUGUCAGUCUCGUUGUUUUCCUGUAGCUGACGGAACGCAUUUGACAUCACUGCAGAGGAGCCCGUACGAAGCAGAUCGCAGGUAUAUGCGUUCCUUUGCGGGCAAGACGCCGACAAGAAAUUCAUCCACUUGUUCAAUCGUGUCAAUUGAAUGUCCAACGGAGCGGAAGGCCAAGGUAGCAUCCCUUCCAGCUUGUUCCAUCAUGACUUCAAAUCCACCCGGAUGGUUGUGGAUGAGUUUGGUGACAUUGUAUACUUUGUCGUUGAGGACGAUCCAACAAUCAUCUUCUUGAUCGUGCCAGGAAACCUGUUCCAAUGAGUAUUCCGGUAAGUGUGCUAAGCUGGCUAAUUCCGCUUCGCAUUGUUGUUGCUGCUGAAGUCUCGUGAUGGCCGACGCAGCUAAUCGAAAUGUACUGCUAGCCAAUGUAACCAUCUGUCAAAAAUAAAUAA